RNAcentral lists this ribosomal RNA (253 nucleotides) under uncultured bacterium. RNAcentral's name for it is "partial 16S ribosomal RNA". It matches the Rfam family "Bacterial small subunit ribosomal RNA", at positions 524 to 776 of the family's 1533-position model. The record is from RNAcentral.
UACGGGGGGGGCAAGCGUUGUUCGGAAUUACUGGGUGUAAAGGGCUAGUAGGCGGCCAACUAAGUCCGACGUGAAAUCCCUAGGCUUAACCUAGGAACUGCGUCGGAUACUGGAUGGCUUGAAUCCGGGAGAGGGACGCGGAAUUCCAGGUGUAGCGGUGAAAUGCGUAGAUAUCUGGAGGAACACCGGUGGCGAAGGCGGCAUCCUGGACCGGCAUUGACGCUGAAUAGCGAAAGCCAGGGGAGCAAACGGG